Molecule: transfer RNA, 73 nt
Filed under: Nitriliruptorales bacterium
Lineage: Bacteria; Bacillati; Actinomycetota; Nitriliruptoria; Nitriliruptorales
Also listed under: 5 other names
Rfam family: tRNA
About the family: Transfer RNA (tRNA) molecules are approximately 80 nucleotides in length. Their secondary structure includes four short double-helical elements and three loops (D, anti-codon, and T loops).
Source: Rfam by way of RNAcentral
GCCCGCGUAGCUCAGGGGAUAGAGCGUCUGCCUCCGGAGCAGAAGGCCGCAGGUUCGAAUCCUGCCGCGGGCA